RNAcentral lists this ribosomal RNA (253 nucleotides) under uncultured bacterium. Its description in RNAcentral is "partial 16S ribosomal RNA". It matches the Rfam family "Bacterial small subunit ribosomal RNA", at positions 524 to 776 of the family's 1533-position model. The record is from RNAcentral.
GACGUAGGGCGCGAGCGUUGUCCGGAUUUAUUGGGCGUAAAGAGCUCGUAGGCGGCUUGUCGCGUCGAAUGUGAAAACUCGGGGCUCAACUCCGAGCUUGCAUUCGAUACGGGCAGGCUAGAGUUCGGUAGGGGAGACUGGAAUUCCUGGUGUAGCGGUGAAAUGCGCAGAUAUCAGGAGGAACACCGGUGGCGAAGGCGGGUCUCUGGGCCGAUACUGACACUGAGAGACGAAAGCUAGGGGAGCGAAUGGG